CAUAUGGACACAUGGUUUUAAUAACUGGGCCAGAAUAAUAGAGGAGUAUUACUAGUAAUUAUGGACCAGGCUUAUUUUUUGUCUUAGUCUUGACCCAUUUGCCCAUAUAUAAACAUCAUAAAAAAAAAUACAGUACAUGAUCCUUAUUGCAAUCAGAUCUAUACAAUUUCGGUCGAGCAGGAUUAGUCAACCAUAAGUCUUAAAAUCAAACCCGAUCGAGCUUGGGAUGAGCUUGAUUAAUUUUGGGAAGAGGAAUUGUUGGAGAAGACCAAGUCAGCUUUUUAUGCCCAAUCGCCACUUUUAUUUGGGUUACCACAGAGAGAAACGUCUUCAACGGUAAGAGCUAAUCUCGGCUAAAUCUCAACAAAACUUGACAUAUGCCAUAUAUCUCUUUCACAAUCAAAUUAACCGAGAACCGAGAGAGAUAUAAUAAGAGAAUGUAGGCGACGAGUUCUCUCUGAAAUUGGGAACAAAUUGUGUGUGAGAGAGAGACCGAUAGAUGAUGAUGAUUAACAGAAUGUAUCCGAUUCCAGCAGCGGCUAUGGUGAAUAGCCGUGAGAGUCUGAAUUUUGAAGAGGUCCGAAUUUGGGGAAAAUCGAUUUUGGGUAAUACAAAGAGGAGAGGGCGAGAGAGAUGAAGGGGCGUUUUUGCGGAGAGGAUAGGGUGAGAUGAAAUGAUGAUGAUGAUGAUGAUGAUGAUGAUGAUGAUGAUGCAUGUUGAUGGGUAAAAGGAUGAAAUGUUUUAGUGUCUCGUCUCGUGUCCUUUUAAAGUUAGAAUCCGAGGUCACUUGUUAAUGGUGUGUCUCGUUUAGUAUUUUGAAUGUGUCGUGUUUGAGUUCACGUAAUGGUGAGAUACUGUUCCUUUUGAGUUAUUUAUUAUUGAGAUGGUACUUUGAUUUAUUCAAGUUA
This is a long non-coding RNA of Salvia splendens (bonfire salvia), 908 nucleotides long. RefSeq lists it as uncharacterized. The record is from RefSeq and is a predicted model, not a curated record. NCBI's taxonomy places the organism in Eukaryota, Viridiplantae, Streptophyta, Magnoliopsida, Lamiales, Lamiaceae. The transcript has 2 exons.